GACGAACGCUGGCGGCGUGCUUAACACAUGCAAGUCGAACGGAAAGGCCCUGCUUGCAGGGUACUCGAGUGGCGAACGGGUGAGUAACACGUGGGUGAUCUGCCCUGCACUUCGGGAUAAGCCUGGGGAACUGGGUCUAAUAUCGGAGAGAAGCCAUUCUUAGGGUGAUGGUUGGAAAGUUUUUUCGGUGUAGGAUGAGCUCGCGGCCUAUCAGCUUGUUGGUGGGGUAAUGGCCUACCAAGGCGGCGACGGGUAGCCGGCCUGAGAGGGUGGACGGCCACAUUGGGACUGAGAUACGGCCCAGACUCCUACGGGAGGCAGCAGUGGGGAAUAUUGCACAAUGGGCGCAAGCCUGAUGCAGCGACGCCGCGUGGGGGAGGACGGCCUUCGGGUUGGAAACUCCUUUCGCUAGGGACGAAGCUUUUUGUGACGGUACCUAGAGAAGAAGCACCGGCUAACUACGUG
This 465-nucleotide ribosomal RNA is filed under the name uncultured bacterium. Its description in RNAcentral is "partial 16S ribosomal RNA". It matches the Rfam family "Bacterial small subunit ribosomal RNA", at positions 28 to 507 of the family's 1533-position model. The record is from RNAcentral.